UGGAAAAGUGCUCAUCCGACUCGCAGACUGGUACUGCGCAUAAGGUCACAGCCAUGCCGGCAAGAUGAAGAAAUUUGUUUUGGCAGUUGACCAGUGCAACUAGCAUUUGAACUUGCGGAUGGAAAAAAAACGCUGCAGCUUGGAGAAAGGUAAGAAUUUCCAACUGAGCUUCGCUCCUGCUACAUGGGACAACAACCUGAGUGAUGACGACUUUGAGUUCUACAAUGAGAUAAGAAAGUCUGCACGCAGUAAAGAGUUUAUGUUGACUGAGCGCUGCCACAAGAAGUUGACCACUAAAUACUCGGCUACCUACCACUCCUGGGAGAAGAAGCAUAAAGACACCUUGCACGGAGACUAGAUGAUGCCAAGAUCGUGCCGUACACUCAAGCGUGGUGGAGUUUAAAGGAACAGGUUCCACUUGGCAAAAUUGGCUCAACAACAGCGUGUUGUGGCCAAACCAUAAAUAAGUCAGUCAGUAGUAAGACUGCUGGCAACAAGUACAAGAAUGGUCGUGAGAUAAGAGCGCAAAGAGAAACACUUGGACCACAACGUCGUCACGGUUUGCCGAAGAAAUCCCCUCUCAGGAACCCGGUGUCCAUGAUGGACGACUGUAA
Long non-coding RNA from Corythoichthys intestinalis (scribbled pipefish), 614 nucleotides. RefSeq lists it as uncharacterized. The transcript has 5 exons. The record is from RefSeq and is a predicted model, not a curated record. NCBI's taxonomy places the organism in Eukaryota, Metazoa, Chordata, Actinopteri, Syngnathiformes, Syngnathidae.